GAGCGGGUGGUGGAGAAUUGGAGCUUGUACAGAUUAACGACUACGUUGUUAAGGUUAGGCUAAGUGGACCGGCUGCUUCUGUGAUGACAGUUCGUGUAGCUCUUACUCAAAAACUGAGAGAUGCAAUACCAGCUAUUGCUGCUGUUCAGUUGACAGAUUGAAGAAAAUGCUCAGCCAUACGCGCGACUACAUUUUCCUGCAAGAACAAAGAUUUACAGUAUCAUUU
RNAcentral lists this unclassified non-coding RNA (226 nucleotides) under Hevea brasiliensis (rubber tree). Lineage: Eukaryota; Viridiplantae; Streptophyta; Magnoliopsida; Malpighiales; Euphorbiaceae. The record is from RNAcentral.